AGAGCAGCGCGCGGGGCAGACCUCCUCGGGUCCUCCGGCGCUUCGGUCUCCGGAGACGCCCGGCCUCCUGAAGGGUUCGGCUUGUCCUCCUCUGGCGCUCAGCUCCCUCUGGCGGCCGGGCUGGCAGGACCUCAGCGCCCAGCCCUUCCGUCUUGUUACGUCCAGGGUCUCACUCUGUGUCUCAGGCUGGAGUACAGUGGUGCAAUUGUAGAUGGCUGCAGCCCUCGACCUCCUGGGCUCAAGUGAUCCUCCUGCCUUAGCCUCUCGAGUAGCUGGGAGUACAGAUGCACACCACCACACCCAGCCUAGAAUGAAGAAACCUGCAGUUGGGAAGCAUGAAUUUACCACCUAUUAAGAAUUGUGGCUUGCAUUGUAAGAGGAGCCUGUGAAUUCAGAGGCAAGUCUGCUGAGGACCGAAUGUUCCUGUCCAUAAAAACAGAAGUCUGGCCUGGGCUCCUCUCUUGGGUGAAUUUGCAAUGCCAGAUCCUCUCUAUCAGUUUGGUUUUGUUUCUUGUAUCUCUGGGAAGGCAGGCAGACAGCACGGUCACCUGUGAAUGCAGCUACAAUUGGCUUAGCUGCCUCACUGAUAAAUGUGCCCCCAGUAAGCUACAAAGGGAUUACCAGCGUUCUCAGCAGCUAAAGGAACUGGUGAAGAUUUCCCCAGCAAAAAGUAGAAGCUCAGUGUUUCAUAGAUGAAGACUGGGGAGAUUGCAAAAGACCCAUCCAGAGUCUCACUUUGUCGCCCAGGCUGGAGUACAGUGGUGCGAUCUUGGCUCUCUGCAACCUCUGCCUCCCAGGUUCAAGUAAUUCUCCUGCCUCAGCCUCCCGAGUAGCUGGUACUACAGGCACACAUUUGUAGAGAUGGUGUUUCCCCAUGUCAUCCAGGCUGGUCUGGAACUCCUGGGAUCAAGUAAUCCACCCGCCUCGGCCUCCCAAAGUGCUGGGAUUACAGACGUGAGCCACCACGCCCUGCCAAUAAAAAGAUUAUCUCCAGAUGCUGGAAUGACCAGUAAUUUAUUUUCUUCCUUUUUUUUUGUCUGCACUUUCUACCAUAAUCAUAUGUUAGCUUCUUACUAAGAAGAAAAGUCAAUGUUAUUUCCCUGAAAAAGUAAUGUUGUUUGGUUAUUAAACAAAUUUAAUUUUCUAAACAAGAGUACGACAGGUAAACUGCCUACCUUAAAAGCAAACGAACACAAAUAAAUAAACUAACCAUCUUCCACUUCAGUCUCUGUCCUUUCACCAGAGUUGCUGAUCAGCCCAGAAUGGACUGAUUUGAAUUUGCUUAGUUGUUCAUUCAUUCAUUUAUUUAACAAGUAUUUAUUAAGCACUUGCUCUGUAGAAAGCACUGUGCUGGUAUUGGAAUACUGGCUUAUGUAAGUGUGAUAGUAAUGGGAUUCUGACUUAGGCCUGACUCCUGGGCCGUAAUGUUUGGAUACUAUGUAUACAUCUAACUAUAAAACGAG
This 1463-nucleotide long non-coding RNA is filed under the name Homo sapiens (human). RNAcentral's name for it is "non-protein coding LINC00466:25". The record is from RNAcentral. Lineage: Eukaryota; Metazoa; Chordata; Mammalia; Primates; Hominidae.